GCGAUACAGGGUGACAGCCCCGUACACAAAAAUGCACAUGCUGUGAGCUCGAUGAGUAGGGCGGGACACGUGGUAUCCUGUCUGAAUAUGGGGGGACCAUCCUCCAAGGCUAAAUACUCCUGACUGACCGAUAGUGAACCAGUACCGUGAGGGAAAGGCGAAAAGAACCCCGGCGAGGGGAGUGAAAAAGAACCUGAAACCGUGUACGUACAAGCAGUGGGAGCACGCUUAGGCGUGUGACUGCGUACCUUUUGUAUAAUGGGUCAGCGACUUAUAUUCUGUAGCAAGGUUAACCGAAUAGGGGAGCCGAAGGGAAACCGAGUCUUAACUGGGCGUUAAGUUGCAGGGUAUAGACCCGAAACCCGGUGAUCUAGCCAUGGGCAGGUUGAAGGUUGGGUAACACUAACUGGAGGACCGAACCGACUAAUGUUGAAAAAUUAGCGGAUGACUUGUGGCUGGGGGUGAAAGGCCAAUCAAACCGGGAGAUAGCUGGUUCUCCCCGAAAGCUAUUUAGGUAGCGCCUCGUGAAUUCAUCUCCGGGGGUAGAGCACUGUUUCGGCAAGGGGGUCAUCCCGACUUACCAACCCGAUGCAAACUGCGAAUACCGGAGAAUGUUAUCACGGGAGACACACGGCGGGUGCUAACGUCCGUCGUGAAGAGGGAAACAACCCAGACCGCCAGCUAAGGUCCCAAAGUCAUGGUUAAGUGGGAAACGAUGUGGGAAGGCCCAGACAGCCAGGAUGUUGGCUUAGAAGCAGCCAUCAUUUAAAGAAAGCGUAAUAGCUCACUGGUCGAGUCGGCCUGCGCGGAAGAUGUAACGGGGCUAAACCAUGCACCGAAGCUGCGGCAGCGACGCUUAUGCGUUGUUGGGUAGGGGAGCGUUCUGUAAGCCUGUGAAGGUGUACUGUGAGGUAUGCUGGAGGUAUCAGAAGUGCGAAUGCUGACAUAAGUAACGAUAAAGCGGGUGAAAAGCCCGCUCGCCGGAAGACCAAGGGUUCCUGUCCAACGUUAAUCGGGGCAGGGUGAGUCGACCCCUAAGGCGAGGCCGAAAGGCGUAGUCGAUGGGAAACAGGUUAAUAUUCCUGUACUUGGUGUUACUGCGAAGGGGGGACGGAGAAGGCUAUGUUGGCCGGGCGACGGUUGUCCCGGUUUAAGCGUGUAGGCUGGUUUUCCAGGCAAAUCCGGAAAAUCAAGGCUGAGGCGUGAUGACGAGGCACUACGGUGCUGAAGCAACAAAUGCCCUGCUUCCAGGAAAAGCCUCUAAGCAUCAGGUAACAUCAAAUCGUACCCCAAACCGACACAGGUGGUCAGGUAGAGAAUACCAAGGCGCUUGAGAGAACUCGGGUGAAGGAACUAGGCAAAAUGGUGCCGUAACUUCGGGAGAAGGCACGCUGAUAUGUAGGUGAAGUCCCUCGCGGAUGGAGCUGAAAUCAGUCGAAGAUACCAGCUGGCUGCAACUGUUUAUUAAAAACACAGCACUGUGCAAACACGAAAGUGGACGUAUACGGUGUGACGCCUGCCCGGUGCCGGAAGGUUAAUUGAUGGGGUUAGCGCAAGCGAAGCUCUUGAUCGAAGCCCCGGUAAACGGCGGCCGUAACUAUAACGGUCCUAAGGUAGCGAAAUUCCUUGUCGGGUAAGUUCCGACCUGCACGAAUGGCGUAAUGAUGGCCAGGCUGUCUCCACCCGAGACUCAGUGAAAUUGAACUCGCUGUGAAGAUGCAGUGUACCCGCGGCAAGACGGAAAGACCCCGUGAACCUUUACUAUAGCUUGACACUGAACAUUGAGCCUUGAUGUGUAGGAUAGGUGGGAGGCUUUGAAGUGUGGACGCCAGUCUGCAUGGAGCCGACCUUGAAAUACCACCCUUUAAUGUUUGAUGUUCUAACGUUGACCCGUAAUCCGGGUUGCGGACAGUGUCUGGUGGGUAGUUUGACUGGGGCGGUCUCCUCCUAAAGAGUAACGGAGGAGCACGAAGGUUGGCUAAUCCUGGUCGGACAUCAGGAGGUUAGUGCAAUGGCAUAAGCCAGCUUGACUGCGAGCGUGACGGCGCGAGCAGGUGCGAAAGCAGGUCAUAGUGAUCCGGUGGUUCUGAAUGGAAGGGCCAUCGCUCAACGGAUAAAAGGUACUCCGGGGAUAACAGGCUGAUACCGCCCAAGAGUUCAUAUCGACGGCGGUGUUUGGCACCUCGAUGUCGGCUCAUCACAUCCUGGGGCUGAAGUAGGUCCCAAGGGUAUGGCUGUUCGCCAUUUAAAGUGGUACGCGAGCUGGGUUUAGAACGUCGUGAGACAGUUCGGUCCCUAUCUGCCGUGGGCGCUGGAGAACUGAGGGGGGCUGCUCCUAGUACGAGAGGACCGGAGUGGACGCAUCACUGGUGUUCGGGUUGUCAUGCCAAUGGCACUGCCCGGUAGCUAAAUGCGGAAGAGAUAAGUGCUGAAAGCAUCUAAGCACGAAACUUGCCCCGAGAUGAGUUCUCCCUGACUCCUUGAGAGUCCUGAAGGAACGUUGAAGACGACGACGUUGAUAGGCCGGGUGUGUAAGCGCAGCGAUGCGUUGAGCUAACCGGUACUAAUGAACCGUGAGGCUUAACCUUACAACGCCGAAGGUGUUU
This 2606-nucleotide ribosomal RNA is filed under the name Escherichia coli. RNAcentral describes it as "partial 23S ribosomal RNA". It matches the Rfam family "Bacterial large subunit ribosomal RNA", at positions 354 to 2925 of the family's 2925-position model. The record is from RNAcentral. Lineage: Bacteria; Pseudomonadati; Pseudomonadota; Gammaproteobacteria; Enterobacterales; Enterobacteriaceae.